This 253-nucleotide ribosomal RNA is filed under the name uncultured bacterium. RNAcentral describes it as "partial 16S ribosomal RNA". It matches the Rfam family "Bacterial small subunit ribosomal RNA", at positions 524 to 776 of the family's 1533-position model. The record is from RNAcentral.
UAUGUAGGUGGCAAGCGUUGUCCGGAUUUACUGGGCGUAAAGAGCGCGCAGGCGGUCGUUCAAGUCGCGUGUGAAAGCCCCCGGCUCAACUGGGGAGGGUCACGCGAUACUGAUCGACUCGAAGGCAGGAGAGGGUAGUGGAAUUCCCGGUGUAGUGGUGAAAUGCGUAGAUAUCGGGAGGAACACCAGUGGCGAAGGCGACUACCUGGCCUGUUCUUGACGCUGAGGCGCGAAAGCUAGGGGAGCAAACGGG